Molecule: ribosomal RNA, 468 nt
Filed under: uncultured bacterium
Lineage: Bacteria
Description: partial 16S ribosomal RNA
Rfam family: Bacterial small subunit ribosomal RNA
Source: RNAcentral
GACGAACGCUGGCGGCGUGCUUAACACAUGCAAGUCGAACGGAAAGGCCCUGCUUUUGUGGGGUGCUCGAGUGGCGAACGGGUGAGUAACACGUGAGUAACCUGCCCUUGACUUUGGGAUAACUUCAGGAAACUGGGGCUAAUACCGGAUAGGAGCUCCUGCUGCAUGGUGGGGGUUGGAAAGUUUCGGCGGUUGGGGAUGGACUCGCGGCUUAUCAGCUUGUUGGUGGGGUAGUUGCUUACCAAGGCUUUGACGGGUAGCCGGCCUGAGAGGGUGACCGGCCACAUUGGGACUGCGAUACGGCCCAGACUCCUACGGGAGGCAGCAGUGGGGAAUAUUGCACAAUGGGCGGAAGCCUGAUGCAGCAACGCCGCGUGCGGGAUGACGGCCUUCGGGUUGUAAACCGCUUUCGCCUGUGACGAAGCGUGAGUGACGGUAAUGGGUAAAGAAGCACCGGCUAACUACGUG